ACGCUCGACACCUAGUGAGGCAGCAGUAGGGAAUCUUCCACAAUGGACGCAAGUCUGAUGGAGCAACGCCGCGUGAGUGAAGAAGGUCUUCGGAUCGUAAAACUCUGUUGUUAGAGAAGAACACGAGUGAGAGUAACUGUUCAUUCGAUGACGGUAUCUAACCAGCAAGUCACGGCUAACUACGUGCCAGCAGCCGUGGUAAUCUGAGCGGGCUGGCAAGGC
Molecule: ribosomal RNA, 222 nt
Filed under: uncultured bacterium
Lineage: Bacteria
Description: partial 16S ribosomal RNA
Rfam family: Bacterial small subunit ribosomal RNA
Source: RNAcentral